GACUCGGUGGCGGAUGGUCCGCGUCUGCACAUCAAGCUGCCCCUUCUGCAGAAGGUGCCUGUUCGAAUCGGGCUCGAGUUG
This is a non-coding RNA of Mycena epipterygia, 81 nucleotides long. NCBI's taxonomy places the organism in Eukaryota, Fungi, Basidiomycota, Agaricomycetes, Agaricales, Mycenaceae. The record is from the annotation of a GenBank genome assembly.